AGUCGAACGAUCCCGCAAGGGAGAGUGGCGGAAGGGUGAGUAACACGUAGAAAUCUACCUCGCCGGAGGGAACAACCCUUCGAAAGAGGGGCUAAUACCCAAAAGGAUCCGCAAGGAUCAGAGUCCGCAAGGGCCUGGCGAGAGGAGUCUGCGGCCCAUCAGCUAGUUGGUGAGGUAAUGGCUUACCAAGGCUACGACGGGUAGGGGGUCUGAGAGGAUGAUCCCCCACACUGGAACUGAAACACGGUCCAGACGCCUACGGGUGGCAGCAGGGAGGAAUAUUGGACAAUGGGGGAAACCCCGAUCCAGCAACGCCGCGUGAGGGAUGAAGGCCUUCGGGUUGUAAACCUCUUUUCAGGGAGACGAGCAAGGACGGUAUCCCUGGAAUCAGUCACGGCUAACUACGUGCCAGCAGCCGCGGUAAUACGUAGGUGGCGAGCGUUAUCCGGAUUUACUGGGCGUAAAGCGCUUGUAGGCGGCCUUGUAAGUUGGGCGUGAAAGCUCCGGGCUUAACCCGGAGAGGCCGUCCAAUACUGCAGGGCUGGAGGGUGUCAGAGGAAGGUGGAAUUCCUGGUGUAGUGGUGAAAUGCGUAGAUAUCAGGAGGAACACCCGUGGCGAAGGCGGCCUUCUGGGGCAUUCCUGACGCUGAGAAGCGAAAG
This 660-nucleotide ribosomal RNA is filed under the name uncultured bacterium. RNAcentral describes it as "bacterial SSU rRNA". It matches the Rfam family "Bacterial small subunit ribosomal RNA", at positions 60 to 759 of the family's 1533-position model. The record is from RNAcentral.